CUCUCUGUGUGCCGGCAUCGCUGCCCCGUCUCGUUCCCAAUCCCAUUCUGGUUCCCCCGCCCCGGUUUCAGGUUCAGGUUCAGUUUUAGUUUCACGUU
RNAcentral lists this small RNA (98 nucleotides) under Drosophila erecta. RNAcentral describes it as "GG27024". Lineage: Eukaryota; Metazoa; Arthropoda; Insecta; Diptera; Drosophilidae. The record is from RNAcentral.